Molecule: long non-coding RNA, 775 nt
Filed under: Manacus vitellinus (golden-collared manakin)
Lineage: Eukaryota; Metazoa; Chordata; Aves; Passeriformes; Pipridae
Description: lncRNA (ENSMVIG00005018219.1)
Source: RNAcentral
ACACUAGCCCACCCUACCUGUGAGGGAAAUCAGUUUCAGUGUCAGACUGAUGGCGAAUGUAUUCCACAGUCAUGGGUUUGUGAUGAUGAGGAGGACUGUGAAGAUGGCUCAGAUGAGCAUCAACAAUGUCCGGGAAGGACGUGCUCAAGUGAGCAGUUCACAUGUUCCAAUGGACAGUGUGUCCCGAGCACAUACUGGUGCGAUCGAGUAGAGGACUGCAUUGAUGGAACAGAUGAAAGAGCCUGCCACUACCCAAGAUGCGAACAGUUAUCAUGUGCAAAUGGAGCAUGUUUUAAUGCAAGCCAGCGAUGUGAUGGCAAAGUUGAUUGCAGAGAUUCUUCUGAUGAAGCUAAUUGCACCCAUGGCUGUACCAGCACGCAGUUUCAGUGUGCUAAUGGAGAAUGCAUCCCUCGAGCCUUCAUCUGUGACCAUGAUGAUGACUGUGGAGACAGGAGUGAUGAAAACUCUUGCACUUAUGCAACUUGCAGAGGCAACUUCUUCACUUGCCCGAGUGGCCGCUGCAUUCAUCAGAGCUGGAUAUGCGAUGGAGAUGAUGACUGUGAAGAUAAUGAAGAUGAAAGAGGAUGUGAAAGUGGUCGCCAUGAGUGCUACCCAGGAGAGUGGGCUUGCCCUGGGUCAGGGCAUUGCAUUCCAAUUGGAAAAGUGUGUGAUGGGACUGCAGACUGCCCAGAAGGAGAGGAUGAAACUAACAUCACCGCAGGCAGACAUUGCAACGUAUCCCGCUGCCCUGCUCUGAGUUGCCAGUAUCGCUGUC